This 76-nucleotide transfer RNA is filed under the name Synergistaceae bacterium. RNAcentral's name for it is "tRNA-Lys". It matches the Rfam family "tRNA". From Rfam's summary of the family: Transfer RNA (tRNA) molecules are approximately 80 nucleotides in length. The record is from RNAcentral. Lineage: Bacteria; Thermotogati; Synergistota; Synergistia; Synergistales; Synergistaceae. RNAcentral also lists the same sequence under 2 other names.
GGACCAUUAGCUCAAUUGGUAGAGCACCUGACUCUUAAUCAGGGUGUUACAGGUUCGAGUCCUGUAUGGUCCACCA